RNAcentral lists this transfer RNA (73 nucleotides) under Glycomyces harbinensis. RNAcentral's name for it is "tRNA_Ala_GGC". It matches the Rfam family "tRNA". Rfam says of the family: Transfer RNA (tRNA) molecules are approximately 80 nucleotides in length. Their secondary structure includes four short double-helical elements and three loops (D, anti-codon, and T loops). RNAcentral also lists the same sequence under 22 other names. Lineage: Bacteria; Bacillati; Actinomycetota; Actinomycetes; Glycomycetales; Glycomycetaceae. The record is from RNAcentral.
GGGGCUUUGGCGCAGUUGGUAGCGCGUUUCCAUGGCAUGGAAAAGGUCAGGGGUUCGAAUCCCCUAAGCUCCA